This 421-nucleotide ribosomal RNA is filed under the name Pseudomonas sp. RNAcentral describes it as "partial 16S ribosomal RNA". It matches the Rfam family "Bacterial small subunit ribosomal RNA", at positions 355 to 774 of the family's 1533-position model. Lineage: Bacteria; Pseudomonadati; Pseudomonadota; Gammaproteobacteria; Pseudomonadales; Pseudomonadaceae. The record is from RNAcentral. RNAcentral also lists the same sequence under 2 other names.
UAGGGAAUAUUGGACAAUGGGUGAGAGCCUGAUCCAGCCAUGCCGCGUGCAGGAAGAAGGCGUUAUGCGUUGUAAACUGCUUUUGCCAGGGGAUAAAACGGUUCUGCGGAACUAAUUGAAGGUACCUGGUGAAUAAGCCACGGCUAACUACGUGCCAGCAGCCGCGGUAAUACGUAGGUGGCAAGCGUUGUCCGGAUUUAUUGGGUUUAAAGGGUGCGUAGGCGGCCCUGUAAGUCAGUGCUGAAAUAUCCCGGCUUAACCGGGAGGGUGGCAUUGAUACUGCAGGGCUUGAGUACAGAUGAGGUAGGCGGAAUUGACGGUGUAGCGGUGAAAUGCAUAGAUAUCGUCAAGAACACCGAUAGCGAAGGCAGCUUACCAAGCUGUAACUGACGCUGAGGCACGAAAGUGUGGGGAUCAAACA